This 305-nucleotide ribosomal RNA is filed under the name uncultured bacterium. RNAcentral describes it as "bacterial SSU rRNA". It matches the Rfam family "Bacterial small subunit ribosomal RNA", at positions 335 to 653 of the family's 1533-position model. The record is from RNAcentral.
GUCCUACGGGAGGCAGCAGUGGGGAAUAUUGCACAAUGGGCGGAAGCCUGAUGCAGCGACGCCGCGUGAGGGAUGACGGCCUUCGGGUUGUAAACCUCUUUCCGCACGGAAGAAGCGAGAGUGACGGUACGUGCAGAAGAAGCGCCGGCUACCUACGUGCCAGCAGCCGCGGUAAUACGUAGGGCGCAAGCGUUGUCCGGAAUUAUUGGGCGUAAAGAGCUCGUAGGCGGUUUGUCGCGUCUGCUGUGAAAGCCCGGGGCUUAACCCCGGGCGUGCGGUGGGUACGGGCAGCCUUGAGUGCAGUG